GCCAGUGUGGUAUAGUGGUUUAAGCAUUGGACUGCCACUCUGGAGUCCAGGGUUUGAAUCCCUGCUCGGUCU
This is a non-coding RNA of Phrynosoma platyrhinos (Desert horned lizard), 72 nucleotides long. Lineage: Eukaryota; Metazoa; Chordata; Lepidosauria; Squamata; Phrynosomatidae. The record is from the annotation of a GenBank genome assembly.